This 433-nucleotide ribosomal RNA is filed under the name uncultured bacterium. RNAcentral describes it as "partial 16S ribosomal RNA". It matches the Rfam family "Bacterial small subunit ribosomal RNA", at positions 30 to 507 of the family's 1533-position model. The record is from RNAcentral.
AGCGAACGCUGGCGGCAGGCUUAACACAUGCAAGUCGAGCGGACCUUUCGGGGUCAGCGGCGGACGGGUGAGUAACGCGGGGGGACGUGCCUUCCUGUUCGGAAUAUCCCUUGGGAAUUAGGGCUAAUACCGGAUACGCCCUUAUGGUGGAAGGAUGACUGCGGGAUGAUCGGCGCGCGGCUGGUUAGCUUGUGGGUGGGGUAACGGCCUACCAAGGCGGGGCGCAGCAGAUGGGCUGUGAGGAUGAUCAGCCACACUGAGACGGGGAAGCGGCCGAGAAUACUACGCGAGGGGGGAGAGGGGAAUAUUGGCCAAUGGCCGCAACGCUGACGCCGCCAGGGCGAGGAAGUGAUGAAGGCCGUAGGGUUGUAAAGCUCUUUUAUACGGGACGAUAAUGACGGUACCGGAGGAAUAAGCCCCGGCUAACUUCGUG